This 1549-nucleotide ribosomal RNA is filed under the name metagenome. RNAcentral's name for it is "bacterial SSU rRNA". It matches the Rfam family "Bacterial small subunit ribosomal RNA". The record is from RNAcentral.
AGAGUUUGAUUCUGGCUCAGAACGAACGCUGGCAGCGUGGAUUAGGCAUGCAAGUCGAACGAGAAUCUGUGGUUUCAAUCCUUCGGGAGAGAAACUGCAGAGGAGAGUGGCGAAAGGGUGAGUAUCGCGUGGGCAAUCUGCCCCCAAGUUGGGGAUAACCCGGCGAAAGCUGGGCUAAUACCGAAUGUGGUCUCUGCUCGCAUGAGGAGAUGACCAAAGAUGGGGAUUCCGCUUUGCGGAACCUGUUGCUUGGUGAGGAGCCCGCGUCCUAUCAGCUUGUUGGUGAGGUAACGGCUCACCAAGGCUUACGGGUAGCUGGUCUGAGAGGAUGGUCAGCCACACUGGGACUGAGACACUGCCCAGACUCCUACGGGAGGCUGCAGUCGAGGAUCAUUCGCAAUGCGCGAAAGCGUGACGAUGCGACGCUGCGUGGAGGAUGACGGCCUUAGGGUUGUAAACUCCUGUUGUCCGGGAGCAAUGGUGCGAAGGUGAAUACCCUUCGUAUUUGAUAGUACCGGAAGAGGAAGCCACGGCUAACUCUGUGCCAGCAGCCGCGGUAAUACAGAGGUGGCAAGCGUUGUUCGGAUUUACUGGGCGUAAAGGGUGCGUAGGUGGUCCUGUAUGUCGGAUGUGAAAUCUCGCCGCUCAACGGCGAAACUGCAUUCGAAACUGCAGGACUAGAGUGCAGGAGAGGAAAGCGGAAUUCUUGGUGUAGCGGUGGAAUGCGUUGAUAUCAAGAAGAACACCGGUGGCGAAGGCGGCUUUCUGGAAUGCUACUGACACUGAGGCACGAAAGUUGGGGUAGCGAACAGGAUUAGAUACCCUGGUAGUCCCAACCGUAAACGGUGUGCACUUGGUGUAGGGGGAUUUGACCCCCCCUGUGCCGGAGCUAACGCGUUAAGUGCACCGCCUGGGGAGUACGGCCGCAAGGCUAAAACUCAAAGAAAUUGACGGGGGCCCGCACAAGCGGAGGAGCAUGUGGCUUAAUUCGAUGCAACGCGAAGAACCUUACCAGGGCUUGACAUGCAGCUGCAAGCCCCCUGAAAGGGGGGCCGCCUUCGAGGGUGCUGCACAGGUGCUGCAUGGCUGUCGUCAGUUCGUGCCGUGAGGUUUUGGGUUAAGUCCCGCAACGAACGCAACCCCUGUGUCUAGUUGCCACCGCAGGUGAUGAAUCUGCGAGCACUCUAGACAGACUGCCCGUGUAAGCGGGAGGAAGGUGGGGAUGACGUCAAGUCAGUAUGGCCCUUAUGUCCUGGGCUGCACACGUGCUACAAUGGCCGGUACGGUGGGAUGCAAUACCGCGAGGUGGAGCCAAUCCCCAAAGCCGGCCCCAGUUCGGAUUGGAGUCUGCAAUUCGACUCCAUGAAGUCGGAUUCGCUAGUAAUGGCGCAUCAGCUACGGCGCCGUGAAUACGUUCCCGGGCCUUGUACACACCGCCCGUCACAUCAUGAAAGCCUUCUGCACCCGAAGUCGCUGCUUCAACUCAUGUUUAGUGAGAGAAAGGCGCCGAAGGUGUGGGGGGUGAUUGGGAUGAAGUCGAAACAAGGUA